RNAcentral lists this ribosomal RNA (253 nucleotides) under uncultured bacterium. RNAcentral's name for it is "partial 16S ribosomal RNA". It matches the Rfam family "Bacterial small subunit ribosomal RNA", at positions 524 to 776 of the family's 1533-position model. The record is from RNAcentral.
UACGUAGGGUGCAAGCGUUGUCCGGAAUUAUUGGGCGUAAAGAGCUCGUAGGCGGUUUGUUGCGUCGGCUGUGAAAUCCCGAGGCUCAACCUCGGGUCUGCAGUCGAUACGAGCAAACUAGAGUGUUGCAGGGGAGACUGGAAUUCCUGGUGUAGAGGUGAAAUGCGCAGAUAUCAGGAGGAACACCGGUGGCGAAGGCGGGUCUCUGGGCAACAACUGACGCUGAGGAGCGAAAGCGUGGGGAGCGAACAGG